RNAcentral lists this ribosomal RNA (494 nucleotides) under uncultured bacterium. RNAcentral's name for it is "partial 16S ribosomal RNA". It matches the Rfam family "Bacterial small subunit ribosomal RNA", at positions 28 to 507 of the family's 1533-position model. The record is from RNAcentral.
GACGAACGCUGGCGGCGUGCCUAAUACAUGCAAGUCGAACGCUGAAGGAGGAGCUUGCUCUUCUGGAUGAGUUGCGAACGGGUGAGUAACGCGUAGGUAACCUGCCUGGUAGCGGGGGAUAACUCUUGGAAACGAUAGCUAAUACCGCAUAACAGUAGAUGUUGCAUGACAUUCACUUAAAAGGUGCAAUUGCAUCACUACCAGAUGGACCUGCGUUGUAUUAGCUAGUUGGUGGGGUAACGGCUCACCAAGGCGACGAUGCAUAGCCGACCUGAGAGGGUGAUCGGCCACACUGGAACUGAGACACGGCCCAGACUCCUACGGGAGGCAGCAGUAGGGAAUCUUCGGCAAUGGACGAAAGUCUGACGGAGCAACGCCGCGUGAGUGAAGAAGGUUUUCGGAUCGUAAAACUCUGUUAUAAGGGAAGAACAGGUGUGGAAGUGAAAGUUCCCAUCUUGACGGUACCUUACCAGAAAGGGACGGCUAACUACGUG